UGGGGAAUAUUGCACAAUGGGCGCAAGCCUGAUGCAGCCAUGCCGCGUGUAUGAAGAAGGCCUUCGGGUUGUAAAGUACUUUCAGCGGGGAGGAAGGCGAUAAGGUUAAUAACCUUGUCGAUUGACGUUACCCGCAGAAGAAGCACCGGCUAACUCCGUGCCAGCAGCCGCGGUAAUACGGAGGGUGCAAGCGUUAAUCGGAAUUACUGGGCGUACAGCGCACGCAGGCGGUCUGUCAAGUCGGAUGUGAAAUCCCCGGGCUCAACCUGGGAACUGCAUUCGAAACUGGCAGGCUAGAGUCUUGUAGAGGGGGGUAGAAUUCCAGGUGUAGCGGUGAAAUGCGUAGAGAUCUGGAGGAAUACCGGUGGCGAAGGCGGCCCCCUGGACAAAGACUGACGCUCAGGUGCGAAAGCGUGGGGAGCAAACA
RNAcentral lists this ribosomal RNA (427 nucleotides) under uncultured bacterium. Its description in RNAcentral is "partial 16S ribosomal RNA". It matches the Rfam family "Bacterial small subunit ribosomal RNA", at positions 355 to 774 of the family's 1533-position model. The record is from RNAcentral.